UAUUUUAUAGUUUAUUAUAAAACAUUAAAUUGCAAAUUUAAAGAUAUUAAUAAAAUAAUUAAAAUAU
RNAcentral lists this transfer RNA (67 nucleotides) under Tapinoma nigerrimum. RNAcentral describes it as "tRNA-Cys". Lineage: Eukaryota; Metazoa; Arthropoda; Insecta; Hymenoptera; Formicidae. The record is from RNAcentral. RNAcentral also lists the same sequence under 2 other names.